GCUUGCUAAUGAAAUUCUUAGUGGCGGACGGGUUAGUAACACGUGAGAAUCCUACCCUUGAGUGGGGAAUAGCCUUUCGAAAGGAAGAUUAAUGCCCCAUAGUCUCUACGGAGUAAAGAUGCCUUCGGGUGUCGCUUAAGGAUGGGCUCGCGGCCUAUCAGCUAGUUGGUGAGGUAAGAGCUCACCAAGGCAACGACGGGUAGCUGGUCUGAGAGGACGAUCAGCAACACUGGAACUGAGACACGGUCCAGACACCUACGGGUGGCAGCAGUCGAGAAUCAUUCACAAUGGACGAAAGUCUGAUGGUGCAACGCCGCGUGGAGGAUGACGGCCCUAGGGUUGUAAACUCCUGUCAUCAGGGAGUAAGACUUAUUCGUUAAUAGCGUGUAAGUUUGAUAGUACCUGAAGAGGAAGGGACGGCUAACUUCGUGCCAGCAGCCGCGGUAAUACGAAGGUCCCAAGCGUUGUUCGGAAUAACUGGGCGUAAAGCGUGUGUAGGCCGCGCGGAAAGUCGGAUGUGAAA
This 523-nucleotide ribosomal RNA is filed under the name uncultured Roseibacillus sp. RNAcentral's name for it is "bacterial SSU rRNA". It matches the Rfam family "Bacterial small subunit ribosomal RNA", at positions 75 to 599 of the family's 1533-position model. The record is from RNAcentral. Lineage: Bacteria; Pseudomonadati; Verrucomicrobiota; Verrucomicrobiia; Verrucomicrobiales; Verrucomicrobiaceae.